UAAGACGAACCGUGCGAACGUUAUUCGGAAUCACUGGGCUUAAAGCGCGUGUAGGCGGGCCAUCACGUCGGUCGCUGAAAGCCCCCGGCUCAACCGGGGAACGGGCGCCGAUACGAGUGGCCUGGAGGGGGGUAGGGGGACCUGGAACUUCCGGUGGAGCGGUGAAAUGCGUUGAGAUCGGAAGGAACGCCCGUGGCGAAAGCGAGGUCCUGGACCCCAUCUGACGCUGAGACGCGAAAGCCAGGGGAGCGAACGGGAUUAGAUACCCCGGUAGUCCUGGCCGUAAACCAUGGGCACUGGGUAGGGGGCUCGCCGAUGGGCUCCCUGCCGUAGCGAAAGCGUGAAGUGCCCCGCCUGGGGAGUAUGGUCGCAAGGCUG
This 378-nucleotide ribosomal RNA is filed under the name uncultured bacterium. RNAcentral's name for it is "bacterial SSU rRNA". It matches the Rfam family "Bacterial small subunit ribosomal RNA", at positions 521 to 896 of the family's 1533-position model. The record is from RNAcentral.